GCCUUCAUGAAGCCGGAAUUGCUAGUAAUGGCAGGUCAGCAUACUGCCGUGAAUACGUUCCCGGGCCUUGUACACACCGCCCGUCACACCAUGAGAGUUGGGAAUACCCGAAGCCUGUGAGCUAACGUUAAGAGGCAGCAGUCGAAGGUAGAAUCAAUGAUUGGGGUGAAGUCGUAACAAGGUACC
This 186-nucleotide ribosomal RNA is filed under the name uncultured bacterium. Its description in RNAcentral is "partial 16S ribosomal RNA". It matches the Rfam family "Bacterial small subunit ribosomal RNA", at positions 1314 to 1500 of the family's 1533-position model. The record is from RNAcentral.